CCGCCGAGAUGACGACCCGAACUCUCUCUUUCUGACCCCCGCAUGGAGAAACCUCUUCACAACCCUCUGAGCGGC
This is a small nucleolar RNA of Meleagris gallopavo (turkey), 75 nucleotides long. Its record names the gene SNORD26. It matches the Rfam family "Small nucleolar RNA SNORD26". Rfam says of the family: U26 is a member of the C/D class of snoRNA which contain the C (UGAUGA) and D (CUGA) box motifs. U26 is encoded within the U22 snoRNA host gene (UHG) in mammals and is thought to act as a 2'-O-ribose methylation guide for ribosomal RNA. The record is from Ensembl. Lineage: Eukaryota; Metazoa; Chordata; Aves; Galliformes; Phasianidae.